RNAcentral lists this ribosomal RNA (241 nucleotides) under uncultured bacterium. Its description in RNAcentral is "partial 16S ribosomal RNA". It matches the Rfam family "Bacterial small subunit ribosomal RNA", at positions 9 to 244 of the family's 1533-position model. The record is from RNAcentral.
GUAGUUUGAUCAUGGCUCAGGAUGAACGCUAGCGGCAGGCUUAACACAUGCAAGUCGGAGGGGCAGCGGGGUGUAGCAAUACACUGCCGGCGACCGGCGCACGGGUGCGUAACGCGUAUGCAACCUACCCAUAACAGGGGCAUAACACUGAGAAAUUGGUACUAAUUCCCAAUAACAUUCGAAGAGGCAUCUCUUUGGGUUGAAAACUCCGGUGGUUAUGGAUGGGCAUGCGUUGUAUUAG